UGGGGAAUAUUGCACAAUGGGCGCAAGCCUGAUGCAGCCAUGCCGCGUGUAUGAAGAAGGCCUUCGGGUUGUAAAGUACUUUCAGCGGGGAGGAAGGGAGUAAAGUUAAUACCUUUGCUCAUUGACGUUACCCGCAGAAGAAGCACCGGAUAACUCCGUGCCAGCAGCCGCGGUAAUACGGAGGGUGCAAGCGUUAAUCGGAAUUACUGGGCGUAAAGCGCACGCAGGCGGUUUGUUAAGUCAGAUGUGAAAUCCCCGGGCUCAACCUGGGAACUGCAUCUGAUACUGGCAAGCUUGAGUCUCGUAGAGGGGGGUAGAAUUCCAGGUGUAGCGGUGAAAUGCGUAGAGAUCUGGAGGAAUACCGGUGGCGAAGGCGGCCCCCUGGACGAAGACUGACGCUCAGGUGCGAAAGCGUGGGGAGCAAACAGG
RNAcentral lists this ribosomal RNA (429 nucleotides) under Chloroflexota bacterium. Its description in RNAcentral is "Chloroflexi bacterium partial 16S ribosomal RNA". It matches the Rfam family "Bacterial small subunit ribosomal RNA", at positions 355 to 776 of the family's 1533-position model. The record is from RNAcentral. Lineage: Bacteria; Bacillati; Chloroflexota.